Molecule: ribosomal RNA, 397 nt
Filed under: uncultured bacterium
Lineage: Bacteria
Description: bacterial SSU rRNA
Rfam family: Bacterial small subunit ribosomal RNA
Source: RNAcentral
AUAUUGGGCAAUGGGGGAAACCCUGACCCAGCGACGCCGCGUGAGGGAAGAAGGUUUUCGGAUUGUAAACCUCUGUCCUUGGUGACGAUAAUGACGGUAGCCAAGGAGGAAGCCACGGCUAACUACGUGCCAGCAGCCGCGGUAAUACGUAGGUGGCGAGCGUUGUCCGGAAUUACUGGGGGUAAAGGGAGCGUAGGCGGGAGAGCAAGUCGACUGUGAAAUCUAUGGGCUUAACCCAUAGCUGCGAUCGAAACUGUUCAUCUUGAGUGAAGUAGAGGCAGGCGGAAUUCCUAGUGUAGCGGUGAAAUGCGUAAAUAUUAGGAGGAACACCAGUGGCGAAGGCGGCCUGCUGGGCUUUAACUGACGCUGAGGCUCGAAAGCGUGGGUAGCAAACAGG